Molecule: ribosomal RNA, 254 nt
Filed under: uncultured bacterium
Lineage: Bacteria
Description: partial 16S ribosomal RNA
Rfam family: Bacterial small subunit ribosomal RNA
Source: RNAcentral
GACGUAGGGCGCGAGCGUUGUCCGGAUUUAUUGGGCGUAAAGAGCUCGUAGGCGGCUUGUUGCGUCGACUGUGAAAACCCGCGGCUUAACCGCGUGGCUUGCAGUCGAUACGGGCAGGCUUGAGUUCGGUAGGGGAGACUGGAAUUCCUGGUGUAGCGGUGAAAUGCGCAGAUAUCAGGAGGAACACCUGUGGCGAAGGCGGCUUUCUGGGCCUUACCUGACGCUGAGACGCGAAAGCGUGGGGAGCGAACCGG